Condylostylus longicornis is the source of this 728-nucleotide long non-coding RNA. RefSeq lists it as uncharacterized. Lineage: Eukaryota; Metazoa; Arthropoda; Insecta; Diptera; Dolichopodidae. The record is from RefSeq and is a predicted model, not a curated record. The transcript has 3 exons.
UUUUAUUCUGUUUGUGUUAAAAUUCCAAAAAAAAUAAAAUAAAAUUUUUUAAAAAAAUUUUUUGGAUUAAAAGCGGGCUUACACUUGCUUUAAGUUUUUACGUUUCUUUUCUUGGUUUUUGUGUUAAAUCUUGAUUUAAUAAAAUAUUCAAUUCCUUCAAAGGAUUCUAUUUUAAAAAGUGGAACGCAUCAAAAUAAUUUUUUUUUGUAAAGUGGAAAAAAACCUAUUUUGGAUUUGAUUCCAUUUGUGUAGUAAGGCCUACAACUAAAAAAUAAAAAUAAAUCGUAAAGUGAAUUAAACAAAAGAAAACACGAAAAAAAAAUAAUAAUAAUAAAUAAAAGAGGCAAAAGAUAUUUACGCUAGAAAUAGAAAAAAAAGAGAAAAAGAAAUAAGAAAAACAAGAAGAGAAGUGAAUAAAAAUUCAACAAAAACAACAACAAUAAUAACAAUAAUGUUAGAUAGGGACAAAAAAAUGGAUAUUAAUACAAUCGCCACCAGAAGGAGCUGUUGUAGUUCUUUGUAUCAUCAUUACAAUUACUACUGGCUUACAAUUUCAUUUGUGAUUUUGUCAUCGCUAAUUGGAUAUGCCCAUUUACAAGGUAAGAAUUCCUUAAUAAUAAUAAAAUGACAUUAAUGUAUGUAAGUAUGUGAACAAAUUCUAAUAAAUUAUGGGUGUGAGUUUAUUAUUAUUUUUCUCUUUAUAUAAUAAUUUUAAUUUUAUUUAAAUU